AGUGAACGCUGGCGGUAGGCCUAACACAUGCAAGUCGAACGGCAGCACAGUAAGAGCUUGCUCUUACGGGUGGCGAGUGGCGGACGGGUGAGGAAUACAUCGGAAUCUACUUUUUCGUGGGGGAUAACGUAGGGAAACUUACGCUAAUACCGCAUACGACCUCCGGGUGAAAGCAGGGGAUCUUCGGACCUUGCGCGAUUGAAUGAGCCGAUGUCGGAUUAGCUAGUUGGCGGGGUAAAGGCCCACCAAGGCGACGAUCCGUAGCUGGUCUGAGAGGAUGAUCCGCCACACUGGACCGGAGACACGGCCCAGACCCCUACGGGAGGCAGCAGUGGGAAAUAUUGGAAAAGGGGCGCAAGCCUGAUCCAGCCAUACCGCGGGGGUGAAGAAGGCCUUCGGGUUGUAAAGCCCUUUUGUUGGGAAAGAAAAGCAGCAGGUUAACACCCCGCUGUUCUGACGGUACCCAAAGAAUAAGCACCGGCUAACUUCGU
Molecule: ribosomal RNA, 491 nt
Filed under: uncultured bacterium
Lineage: Bacteria
Description: partial 16S ribosomal RNA
Rfam family: Bacterial small subunit ribosomal RNA
Source: RNAcentral